This 619-nucleotide ribosomal RNA is filed under the name uncultured archaeon. Its description in RNAcentral is "bacterial SSU rRNA". It matches the Rfam family "Archaeal small subunit ribosomal RNA", at positions 83 to 705 of the family's 1478-position model. The record is from RNAcentral.
GCACGGCUCAGUAACACGUAGUCAACCUACCCUGGGGACGGGGAUAACCUCGGGAAACUGAGGCUAAACCCCGAUGGGCUAUAGCCUCUGGAAUGAGCUAUAGCUGAAAUCUAUAUGGCCCUAGGAUGGGACUGCGGCCGAUCAGGUAGUUGGUGGGGUAAUGGCCCACCAAGCCUAUAACCGGUGCGGGCUCUGAGAGGAGGAGCCCGGAGAUGGGCACUGAGACAAGUGCCCAGGUCCUAUGGGGCGCAGCAGGCGCGAAACCUCCGCAAUGGGCGAAAGCCCGACGGGGUUAGUCCGAGUGGUCCCUGCUGAAGGGGCCUUUUGCCAGCUGUAAAAAGGCUGGCGAAUAAGGGGUGGGCAAGUUUGGUGUCAGCCGCCGCGGUAAUACCAGCACCCCGAGUGGUCGGGACGAUUAUUGGGCCUAAAGCAUCCGUAGCCGGCUUAGCAAGUCCUCCGUUAAAUCCAACGGCUUAACCGUUGGGCUGCGGAGGAUACUGCUAAGCUAGGGGGCGGGAGAGGCGAGGGGUAUUCCCAGGGUAGGGGUAAAAUCCGUUGGUCCUGGGAGGACCACCAGUGGCGAAGGCGCCUCGCUAGAACGCGCCCGACGGUGAGGGAU